UACGGGGGGGGCAAGCGUUGUUCGGAAUUACUGGGCGUAAAGGGCUCGUAGGCGGUCUGUUGCGUCGGGAGUGAAAACUUACAGCUUAACUGUGAGCGUGCUUCCGAUACGGGCAGACUUGAGGUAUUCAGGGGAGAACGGAAUUCCUGGUGUAGCGGUGAAAUGCGCAGAUAUCAGGAGGAACACCGGUGGCGAAGGCGGUUCUCUGGGAAUAUCCUGACGCUGAGGAGCGAAAGCGUGGGGAGCGAACAGG
Molecule: ribosomal RNA, 253 nt
Filed under: uncultured bacterium
Lineage: Bacteria
Description: partial 16S ribosomal RNA
Rfam family: Bacterial small subunit ribosomal RNA
Source: RNAcentral